GAACCUCUCCAGCUCUCUUCUCCAUUUCCUUGCGUUGCAUAAACUAAGAUAACAAAAGAGAUGUUGUUCAGGAAGUUCUUAUUAGCCACACUUUUGGUAGGAUUAAGCCUAGCUCAAAUCUCAUUAGCCCAGAAUUCUCCCCAGGAUUAUGUAGAUGCACAUAACGCAGUUCGUGCAGAAGUGGGUGUGGGUCCAGUUUCUUGGAACAAGACAGUGGCAGCCUAUGCUCAAAAAUAUGCAAAUUCGAGGAUUGAAAACUGUGAGUUGGAGCAUUCGUAUGGACCCUAUGGUGAGAACAUUGCAGAAGGCUAUGGUAACCUAAACGGAGUGGACGCAGUGACGAUGUGGGCGAGCGAGAAGCCUAACUAUGAUUACAAAUCAAAUUCCUGUGUUGGCGAUGAGUGCUUGCACUAUACUCAGAUUGUUUGGCGCAACUCAGUUCAUCUUGGGUGUGGAAGGGCCAAGUGCAAGAAUGGUUGGUGGUUUGUGACUUGCAAUUAUGAUCCUGUGGGUAACAUUGAGGGUCAAUAUCCUUAUUGAAUUUCUGCUGCUUUUAUAUGUUUGUAAUAAGAGAUGAAAUGACCAUAUUUAUCAUAAGCUAAGUUAAGAUUACUUGCUCAGUCUGUGGACCUGAGCUUGUUUUGUAUAAUAUUUUUUUUUCUUGGCAUUUCGUUAGCUAUAUUAUGUAUAAAUUGAAAUAUAUCCCUGUUUAGUUGAAUAGCUAUGAGAAACAUGGAGUGAGAGAGGAAGGAGAAAGAAGAUAGAGAGGAGAAGGGGAAGCUAGAUGAGAAGGAGAGAGUGAGGAGAGAGAAAAGAGACAAAUUGAGCAGAAUAAUAGCAAAAUAAAUUUAAAAUUGGGCGAGCCUACUUUCAC
Molecule: unclassified non-coding RNA, 874 nt
Filed under: Hevea brasiliensis (rubber tree)
Lineage: Eukaryota; Viridiplantae; Streptophyta; Magnoliopsida; Malpighiales; Euphorbiaceae
Source: RNAcentral